CAUCUGAUUAGUGGCGAACGGGUGAGUAACACGUGAGUAACCUGCCCUCCACUUCGGGAUAACCUCGGGAAAUCGUGGCUAAUACCGGAUAUGAGCACUCAUCGCAUGGUGAGUGCUGGAAAGAUUUAUCGGUGGGGGAUGGACUCGCGGCCUAUCAGUUUGUUGGUGAGGUGAUGGCUCACCAAGACGAUGACGGGUAGCCGGCCUGAGAGGGCGACCGGCCACACUGGGACUGAGACACGGCCCAGACUCCUACGGGAGGCAGCAGUGGGGAAUAUUGCACAAUGGGCGAAAGCCUGAUGCAGCGACGCCGCGUGGGGGAUGACGGCCUUCGGGUUGUAAACCCCUUUCAGUAGGGAAGAAGCGAGAGUGACGGUACCUGCAGAAGAAGCGCCGGCUAACUACGUGCCAGCAGCCGCGGUAAUACGUAGGGCGCAAGCGUUGUCCGGAAUUAUUGGGCGUAAAGAGCUUGUAGGUGGCUUGUCGCGUCUGCCGUGAAAACCCGAGGCUCAACCUCGGGCGUGCGGUGGGUACGGGCAGGCUAGAGUGUGGUAGGGGAGACUGGAACUCCUGGUGUAGCGGUGAAAUGCGCAGAUAUCAGGAAGAACACCGAUGGCGAAGGCAGGUCUCUGGGCCAUUACUGACACUGAGAAGCGAAAGCAUGGGUAGCGAACAGGAUUAGAUACCCUGGUAGUCCAUGCCGUAAACGUUGGGCACUAGGUGUGGGGGA
Molecule: ribosomal RNA, 730 nt
Filed under: bacterium SCSIO13067
Lineage: Bacteria
Description: bacterial SSU rRNA
Rfam family: Bacterial small subunit ribosomal RNA
Source: RNAcentral